Molecule: ribosomal RNA, 534 nt
Filed under: Triticum aestivum (bread wheat)
Lineage: Eukaryota; Viridiplantae; Streptophyta; Magnoliopsida; Poales; Poaceae
Description: partial small subunit ribosomal RNA
Source: RNAcentral
AUGGAGUAUCAGCCCAUCAUCUCCGCCUUGGACGCACGUACUGAUCCAGUCACCAUCGAGAACCUCUUCGCCAUGGUAGCCAAUUUUGACCAGCGCGUCGAGAUGUUCCAUGGGACAGGCGCUGGCAACUUCAAGUCCUCCGCCAACAUUGCUUCUCAUGGCCGCCAGGGACCCAACAAAGGCUCCCGUGGUCAGCAAAAGGGUGGUGGUGGUGGCGGAUCUUGUCCAGGUGGCAGUGGCGGUAGCGGCCACAGCGGCGGCGGCGGCUACAACAAUUUUGGCUACAAUCCUAGCGGCUACAACAGCAACAAUGGUGGCAGCAGCCACUAUGGUGGUGGUGGUGGCGGUGGCCAUUAUCACCAGGGAAACAACAGCGGCGGCUACCCUCCUCGACGCAACAGCAGAGGGCGCAACAACUUUCAGGGGUAUGAAGGUCGUUGUCAAAUUUGCAAAAAAAAACUAACCAUAUCGCCAAAGAUUGUGAUUGGCGUUAUGCUGAUGACGCAUCCCAAAAGAAAAAAGUUGCUGCUGUAG